Small nucleolar RNA from Perognathus longimembris pacificus (Pacific pocket mouse), 105 nucleotides. RefSeq annotates it as small nucleolar RNA U13. The record is from RefSeq and is a predicted model, not a curated record. NCBI's taxonomy places the organism in Eukaryota, Metazoa, Chordata, Mammalia, Rodentia, Heteromyidae. The transcript has a single exon.
AUCCUUUUCCAGUUCAUACGCAUGAUGAUUGGGUUCUCACACACUUGCGUGGCACGUACCUCCCUCUGAACCUUGUUACAAAGUGGGCACGUUACCCAUCUGGUG